CCUACGGGAGGCAGCAGUUAGGAAUAUUGGACAAUGGGCGCAAGCCUGAUCCAGCCAUGCCGCGUGAGUGAUGAAGGCCUUCGGGUUGUAAAGCUCUUUAGCCGAUGAUUAUAAUGACUGUAGUCGGAAAAUAAGCCCCGGCUAACUUCGUGCCAGCAGCCGCGGUAAUACGAAGGGGGCGAGCGUUAUUCGGAAUCACUGGGCGUAAAGCGUGCGUAGGUGGCUAUGUAAGUUAGAAGUGAAAGCCCAGGGCUCAACCUUGGAAUUGCUUUUAAAAACUACAUAGCUCGAAUCUCGGAGAGGACAGCGGAAUUUCCAGUGUAGCAGUGAAAUGCGUAGAUAUUGGAAGGAACACCAGUGGCGUAAGCGGCUGUCUGGACGAGUAUUGACACUGAGGCACGAAAAGCGUGGGGAUCAAACAGGAUUAGAUACCCUGGUAGUCCACGCUGUAAAACGAUGUGUGCUGUCGCGUGGGAGGUACGUACUCUUCGGUUGGUACGGAGGACGUAACGACGUUAAGUACGACACCGACCGUCGGGAAGGUAACGGACCGGCCGAAACGGUUAAAAACGUUAAACGUAAAAGAAAAGUUAAGUACGGACGUUGAGACGNGCCGACGGACGACACGAGGGAAGGAGGAG
This 641-nucleotide ribosomal RNA is filed under the name uncultured bacterium. RNAcentral describes it as "bacterial SSU rRNA". The stretch from base 1 to 529 matches the Rfam family "Bacterial small subunit ribosomal RNA", at positions 338 to 873 of the family's 1533-position model. The record is from RNAcentral.